RNAcentral lists this ribosomal RNA (253 nucleotides) under uncultured bacterium. Its description in RNAcentral is "partial 16S ribosomal RNA". It matches the Rfam family "Bacterial small subunit ribosomal RNA", at positions 524 to 776 of the family's 1533-position model. The record is from RNAcentral.
UACGUAGGGGGCAAGCGUUGUCCGGAAUCACUGGGCGUAAAGCGCACGUAGGCGGACUCUUAAGUCGGUGGUGAAAUCCUGGAGCUCAACUCCAGAACUGCCUUCGAUACUGAGAGUCUCGAGUCCGGGAGAGGUGAGUGGAACUGCGAGUGUAGAGGUGAAAUUCGUAGAUAUUCGCAAGAACACCAGUGGCGAAGGCGGCUCACUGGCCCGAUACUGACGCUGAGGCACGAAAGCGUGGGGAGCAAACAGG